AAAAAUCAAAUCAACAGCUGUGAAUCUUUCAUCUGAGAAAAAGCCUAUACCCGAAUAAGCCUCUGGCUCAGAAAGAUUUCAAAGACACCUGCUGGUCAGAGCGAGUUUGGUCUUACUAGUUUCAGAUAAUAUAUAGCUGCGGCAGUAAGGAUUAAAGAUAGCUAUAUAUAACAUAAUAUAUAUAAGGAUGUAGGUAUAUAUAUAUAUAUAUAUAUAUAUAUAUAUAUAUAUAUAUAUAUAAAUAACAUCCUCGUGAUUUUGUCUGACUUACAGGAAACCAUUAUGUGAAUAUGAAGAAUAAAUGACAGGAGGCGAGAAGGUCUUGCUGCCCCUGGCCAGUGUGUCGUGUGGCUGAGCAGAAUCACACACAGCGCGCAGAACAGUGUAGUGUUGAGUGGAGUCAGUGCCGCUGCAUGAUUCAGUGCUGUCGAGAGGAAUGAGUAAACGGGGCGAUAGACUGACACAACAGUUGAAGAAAUACUAAGGACGUUUUCAUCCUCUUGGAUACCGGAUUUUUCGUUAAGUUCAUCUGUACUUAAACGCGAGGAUAUCACAAAACACGGGGCAAGGAGAAGCUUCAGCAAGAGGCACAAGUAUGGAGGGGGACUGUCUUAGUUGCAUCAAGUACCUCAUGUUCAUCUUCAACUUCUUCAUUUUUCUUGGAGGUGGAUUCCUUCUCGGGGUGGGAAUCUGGGUGCUGGUGGAUCCGACAGGUUUCCGGGAGAUUGUGGCAGUCAACCCUCUCCUGUUUACAGGAGUCUAUGCAAUUUUGAUCAUGGGCGGGAUGCUGUUCCUACUGGGAUUUCUGGGCUGCUGCGGAGCCAUACGAGAAAAUAAAUGUCUUCUACUGUUUUUCUUCAUGCUCAUACUCAUCAUAUUUCUGGCAGAGCUGGCGAUGGCCAUUCUGGCAUUCAUUUUCCGGGAGCAUCUCACCAGAGAUUACUUCACCAAGGAGUUGAAAGCACAUUACCAAGGCACCAAUAGCACUGAUGUCUUCACCUCCACAUGGAACGCCAUUAUGACCACAUUUGAUUGCUGUGGGGUGAACAGUGCUGAAGACUUCGAUGAUCAGAGCCUCUUCAGACUGGUGAACCACAGCAGACUAGUGCCAGAGGUUUGUUGCCAGAGGAACGAUCUGAUGAUGAGCAAGGAGGAGUGUCUCAAGGGAAUUAUGCCAAUCCGUAACAAGGUCAGCAAUGAGUACAAAUUAGUAAACGAGUGGGAAUGAAUAUGCAAGUAAAUAUAUUGGUUAUUGGAGAAAGAACAGUGUGGUAUAUGACCAUGUCUAUGUAAUAGCUCUCAAAAUGAAUGAUUCAUAUUCUGAGUCAUAUAUAAUCUUCUAUUGAUAUAUAUAUAUAUAUAUAUAUGUAGCUUUUUAAUAAUAAAGUAUGAUGUGAUGAUUUUACA
Cyprinus carpio (common carp) is the source of this 1407-nucleotide long non-coding RNA. Lineage: Eukaryota; Metazoa; Chordata; Actinopteri; Cypriniformes; Cyprinidae. The record is from Ensembl.